AAUAAAAGGCAAAGCAGGAGAAAUCCUGUGACGCAAAACUAUAGGGCCUAAAAAUCUGAUUUUAUGGUAGCCAGUUGCA
This 79-nucleotide non-coding RNA is filed under the name uncultured Eubacterium sp. Its description in RNAcentral is "Cyclic di-GMP-I riboswitch". It matches the Rfam family "c-di-GMP-I riboswitch aptamer". From Rfam's summary of the family: GEMM was predicted in a large-scale screen for bacterial structured RNA regulatory elements. Genes associated with GEMM are involved in a diverse array of functions, including chemotaxis regulation, signal transduction, secretion and chitin. Lineage: Bacteria; Bacillati; Bacillota; Clostridia; Eubacteriales; Eubacteriaceae. The record is from RNAcentral.